This 446-nucleotide ribosomal RNA is filed under the name uncultured bacterium. Its description in RNAcentral is "partial 16S ribosomal RNA". It matches the Rfam family "Bacterial small subunit ribosomal RNA", at positions 338 to 795 of the family's 1533-position model. The record is from RNAcentral.
CCUACGGGUGGCAGCAGUCGAGAAUCAUUCACAAUGGGGGAAACCCUGAUGGUGCGACGCCGCGUGGGGGAAUGAAGGUCUUCGGAUUGUAAACCCCUGUCAUGUGGGAGCAAAUUAAAAAGAUAGUACCACAAGAGGAAGAGACGGCUAACUCUGUGCCAGCAGCCGCGGUAAUACAGAGGUCUUAAGCUUUGUUCGGAAUCACUGGGCGUAAAGUGUGCGUAGGCUGUUUCGUAAGUCGUGUGUGAAAGGCGCGGGCUCAACCCGCGGACGGCACAUGAUACUGGGAGACUGGAGUAAUGGAGGGGGAAGCGGAAUUCUCGGUGUAGCAGUGAAAUGCGUAGAUAUCGAGAGGAACACUCGUGGCGAAGGCGGGUUCCUGGACAUUAACUGACGCUGAGGCACGAAGGCCAGGGGAGCGAAAGGGAUUAGAUACCCCUGUAGUC